GACAGAGGCCUCGAGCGUUAGGCGGAAUUACUGGGCGUAAAGCGUGCGCAGGCGGUUAUGCAAGGCAGAUGUGAAAUCCCCGGGCUUAACCUGGGAACUGCAUUUGUGACUGCAUAGCUGGAGUGCGGCAGAGGGGGAUGGAAUUCCGCGUGUAGCAGUGAAAUGCGUAGAUAUGCGGAGGAACACCGAUGGCGAAGGCAAUCCCCUGGGCCUGCACUGACGCUCAUGCACGAAAGCGUGGGGAGCAAACAGG
Molecule: ribosomal RNA, 253 nt
Filed under: uncultured bacterium
Lineage: Bacteria
Description: partial 16S ribosomal RNA
Rfam family: Bacterial small subunit ribosomal RNA
Source: RNAcentral